UUCGUCUAGAGGCCUAGGACACCGCCCUUUCACGGCGGUAACAGGGGUUCGAAUCCCCUAGGGGACGCCA
RNAcentral lists this transfer RNA (70 nucleotides) under Aeromonas caviae. RNAcentral describes it as "tRNA-Glu". It matches the Rfam family "tRNA". Rfam says of the family: Transfer RNA (tRNA) molecules are approximately 80 nucleotides in length. Their secondary structure includes four short double-helical elements and three loops (D, anti-codon, and T loops). Lineage: Bacteria; Pseudomonadati; Pseudomonadota; Gammaproteobacteria; Aeromonadales; Aeromonadaceae. RNAcentral also lists the same sequence under 4 other names. The record is from RNAcentral.